This 278-nucleotide unclassified non-coding RNA is filed under the name Hevea brasiliensis (rubber tree). The record is from RNAcentral. Lineage: Eukaryota; Viridiplantae; Streptophyta; Magnoliopsida; Malpighiales; Euphorbiaceae.
AAAAGACAAAGCGUUCAAUCACCAAUCCCUCAUGCUAAUUCUUCAAGCGGAGAUGGAGAUGGAGAUGGAUAUGAAUGUGGAGAUUUUUGUACUAAUGGAAAGAUCUUUACAAACAGGUCGCCAAUCACUUCUCAAGAAUUACAAGAUAGCACCCAAGAAGAAGAAGACAUGGCUAAUUGCCUUAUUCUACUUGCUCAAGGUCAUAUUAAUAAACAUUCAUCACCAAAGCAAGACAAUAAUGAUGCUGCUGGAGUUUACAAACCCACCACCGCUGCUGU